GAUCUGUAGCUAUUUUCUUUUGGAGUAAGCUGUUUAUAAUUCACUUCAGUUUUUCCCCAUUUAAUUCACUUUUCUCCUCUUUACCUUAAAUAAUAAAAAAUACCAAAAUUUGGAUAAAUACCAAUUUUGCAGUUUAAUUUUCAGGUAGGAAACCAAAGAACACAGCCCUGGGAUUGUGUAGUUCUCGGAGCAUUCAUGCUGAAUUAGCCAUGAGACAAGCCAAAAGUACAUCGGGUAACUUUCCAAGCCAUGGGACCUCAUAGAUCAUCCUUGCUGAAUAAUUGCCACAAUACAUUUUCAUUUUGCUGCAGUGAAAGGACAGUGAACUUGUUCCUCUGGAAACUACUGGAGACAAUUUUGAGUGCCAGACUGAGGAAUGUUGGUAUACAUAAAAACGUAACACCUGAUACUUGUGUGCAUUUGAAUUUCCAUCCAACUAUAUUGUAAAUCAGUUUUAUUUAUUAAUGGAAAGAAAAAAGACCACUACAAACCAUCAUUUUCCAGAUGUAAUAUGCUGUUGCUAAUAGAAAUAUUCUCAUUAUUUCAUUAUAUUUCAUUAUAUUAGCAGAGUGCUUUCUUUCUCAUGUCACCAUAUGCCAGGAUCCCCUGUAUUAUGUAGCUUAGGGUAGAAACACAUUCUGUUAUGUGUUAAGCAGGAAAACAAGAGAUCCAAAAUUAUGAAGUUAUAUGUUACAGAAGGCUGAUUGAAUGAUUUAAAAAAAAAAUAUUUUUGGCUUUUGAGAAAUAGUAAUUGUAAAGAAAAAUAUAAUACCCCCAUCAAUUUCUAUAAUAUGUGCAAUUAAGAAGAGUUGGAAAAUGUCCAUGAACCAUAUGUUGGAAUCUCAUCUGUGGAUUAAAGCAUGAUUUCUAAACAGAAGGCUCGUAUGAAAUGAUUACUAUAAAACAGUAACAUCUCUGGACACAAUGCCUCAAAUGAAUCAUGUCCGGCAUUUCACAAAAAGAAAAAUAUGUUAAAAAUUUUUUAGAGAACAUGAAGAAAGAGCUUACAUGUCUACCACAGGAUGGAGCCUGUCAGAAAAGUAUAGUAAAACAAUCUGGCAAAGGGUACAUUGCCAUACUAGAAAUGAUUCUAUGAGUGGGUUUACACAACAUAAACCCCUAACUCUGUUUGACAAAAAGUUUGGAAUUUUCGCAAAUCAUUGAGUUCACACAAUAGGCUGAGCUAAAAAAAAUGCCCAAGUUUCAUUUUAUCCUGGUUUAACAUGUUCCUGUUGCAUCUGAGUAAGAAGAAAAGGUAUGAGGUAGAGAAAGGUUUGAAUAUAAACUGUUUUCCAAUGGUUGGGGGGGUUGUCAAGGAGAAGUUACAGCUGUGACCAUCUUUACAAUUGAUCUUAGGCAAAAGAAUUGAUGGAACGGAUCCCUAUAUCCCUAUAUCAGGGACUCCAAUAUAAGGAAACAUUUGGCAACUGUAGGCAGAGAAAGAACUAAUUUGCCCGUCUUCUCGUGACUUAUUGCUCUUGUCAAUUCUUGUAGGUUAUAUAUAUAUUAAAUGGGGGGGGGUCUCAAAUUGAGUACAUCAUGUUGGUUAUUUAUUUACUAGUGUUCAAGGGUGGUGCGAGUAAAGCUCAUCAAUGCUGACAUCUGCCUGAAGGCCCUCAGGGCAAGCAGAUUCUCCCUGUGAGCCUCCAGUUUAAUAUGCCACAUGACUGGGAUUGUAUGCCAGAUCUUGGGAUCUUCUAGGAAAUUAAAAUGAUUGCUCUUAGGAACCUCUGGGUGGUUGAUACUGUGUCUCCCCCUGCCACCACCUUCCCCGGGGUCAGGGAGUUCAUUCUAUCCAAAGCCCCCUCAGAACUAGGUAUGUUUACAAACGUGUAUGUAGUGACAUGCUUAUUCUUAAAAUGUAGUUUAUUUAAUGCCUUGAAAUUAAACUUAAAACAGUCAUGAACAUACUUCAUUACAAAUGUAUACCCAUAUUAUUCUUAAAAUGAUUACAAUAAAAUACAACACUUGUUAAAAAUGAAAAGGAA
Non-coding RNA from Thamnophis sirtalis, 1988 nucleotides. NCBI's taxonomy places the organism in Eukaryota, Metazoa, Chordata, Lepidosauria, Squamata, Natricidae. The record is from RefSeq and is a predicted model, not a curated record.